RNAcentral lists this ribosomal RNA (1519 nucleotides) under Candidatus Giovannonibacteria bacterium GW2011_GWF2_42_19. RNAcentral's name for it is "bacterial SSU rRNA". It matches the Rfam family "Bacterial small subunit ribosomal RNA". Lineage: Bacteria; Candidatus Giovannoniibacteriota. The record is from RNAcentral.
AAGAGAGUUUGAUCCUGGCUCAGGAUGAACGCUGGCGGCGUGGAUAAGGCAUGCAAGUCAAACGGAAUAUCUUUUGAAGAAGUUGAGAUUACAUCAAGGCAACGGAUUUAGAUGUUCAGUGGCAGACGGGGUAGUAACACGUAGGAACUUACCUUAGAGACGGGCAUAACUAGCCGAAAGGUUAGCUAAUUCCCGAUAGUUCUCGUAAGAGUAAAUCACUCAGAUUGGCUCUAAGAAAGGCCUGCGGGCUAUCAGCUUGUUGGUAGGGUAAUGGCCUACCAAGGCUAUGACGGCUAGGGGAAGUGAGAGCUUGAUCCCCACCAAUGGAACUGCGACACGGUCCAUACACCUACGGGUGGCUGCAGUCAAGAACAUUCGACAAUGGGCGAAAGCCUGAUCGAGCGACGCCGCGUGCGGGAGGAAGUCCUUCGGGACGUAAACCGCUUUUAUAGGUGAAAAACUAAAGUGAUAUUAGCCUAUGAAUAAGGGCUUGCUAACCUCGUGCCAGCAGCCGCGGUAAUACGAGGAGCCCAAGCGUUAUCCGGAUUUACUGGGCGUAAAGGGUGUGUAGGAGGCAUGGUUAGUCCCUGCUUAAAUUUCACCGCUUAACGGUGAAGCUGGCAGGGAAACGGCCAAGCUUGGAGGGUGCCAGAGGCAAAUGGAACUCUAGGUGUAGGGGUGAAAUCCGUUGAUAUCUAGGGGAACACCAAAGGCGAAGGCAAUUUGCUGGGGCAUUCCUGACUCUGAAACACGAAAGCGUGGGGAUCAAAAAGGAUUAUAGUAACAAAAUGUAGAUACCCUUGUAGUCCACGCCCUAAACGAUGCAGGCUAGGCAUUCGAAGUAUCGACCCUUCGGGAGCCGUAAGCUAACGCGUUAAGCCUGCCGCCUGGGAAGUACGAACGCAAGUUUAAAACUCAAAGGAAUAGACGGGGACUCGCACAAGCGGUGGAGCAUGUGGUUCAAUUCGACGGUAAGCGAAAAACCUCACCAGGGCUUGAAAUGCUUUUGAAGUUUCGGCGAAAGCUGGAACGUCUCACAAGGACAAAAGCACAGGUGCUGCAUGGCCGUCGUCAGCUCGUGGCUUGAGCUGUUCCCUUAAGUGGGGUAACGAGCGCAACCCCUAUCGUCUGUUAUAAGUGUCAGACGAGACUGCCCUCGUAAGAGGGAGGAAGGCGGGGAUGACGCCAGGUCAGCAUGGCCCUUUGAUGCCCUGGGCUACACACGUGCUACAAUGCCGAUGACAAUGGGUUGCGAUGCCGUAAGGCGGAGCCAAUCCCAUCAAAAGUCGGCUCAGUUCGGAUUGAGGUCUGCAACUCGACCUCAUGAAGCUGGAAUCGCUAGUAAUCGCAGGUCAGCUACACUGCGGUGAAUACGUUCUCGAGUCUUGUACUCACCGCCCGUCACGUCAGGGAAGCCGGGAAGAGCUUAAGUCUCAUUUUUGGGCCCAAGCUCGGCUCGGUGACAAGGACGAAGUCGUAACAAGGCACGGCUAGCGGAAGCUGGUCGUGGAGUUUCUCC